UACGGGGGGUGCGAGCGUUGUCCGGAAUCACUGGGCGUAAAGGGCGCGUAGGUGGCGCGGCAAGCGUGCGGUGAAAGCUCGGGGCUCAACCCCGAGUCGGCCGUGCGAACUGCUGGGCUUGAGCACUGUAGAGGCAGGCGGAAUUCCGGGUGUAGCGGUGGAAUGCGUAGAGAUCCGGAAGAACACCGGUGGCGAAGGCGGCCUGCUGGGCAGUAGCUGACACUGAGGCGCGACAGCGUGGGGAGCAACAGG
This 252-nucleotide ribosomal RNA is filed under the name uncultured bacterium. RNAcentral describes it as "partial 16S ribosomal RNA". It matches the Rfam family "Bacterial small subunit ribosomal RNA", at positions 524 to 775 of the family's 1533-position model. The record is from RNAcentral.